AACAUCACUACUUAUUAUUUGAUCAAUGCCUAGUCUGUCAUACCAAUUCCCACAAAUAACACUAAUCACCUCAUGCUAUGUGGCAAGAAAAAUUUACAUAUGACUGAGUAGGUCGUGCCUUAGCAUUACUUUUAGUUAAAUAAGCAGGCUGAUUUCUAAUUAGGUGGGCACCUCUUAAGGGUCAACUAGCCCUAGUGUUAAAUUAGUUGUUUCAUUACUUUCUUUUCUUUUCCAUUUCCCCCAAUUAACUGGU
RNAcentral lists this long non-coding RNA (253 nucleotides) under Elaeis guineensis (African oil palm). Its description in RNAcentral is "long non-coding RNA (EGUI_LNC025752)". The record is from RNAcentral. Lineage: Eukaryota; Viridiplantae; Streptophyta; Magnoliopsida; Arecales; Arecaceae.